This 262-nucleotide long non-coding RNA is filed under the name Brassica napus (rape). Its description in RNAcentral is "long non-coding RNA (BNAP_LNC006913)". The record is from RNAcentral. Lineage: Eukaryota; Viridiplantae; Streptophyta; Magnoliopsida; Brassicales; Brassicaceae.
GAAAGAAGGCAUGGUGGUAAAGUUUUCUCUUCAAUAGAGAAGGAUGAAAAACUCUUCAAAAAAGAGAAAUAUAGCAUUGCGUGCAAGAUAGUUCGGAUCAAAGCUUCGGUGAACCCAUCGAGAAUCAUUGAUGAACUAAUACUAGUUAGUACCAAACCUCCAAAGCAGUUUAUGGACGAAGCCUUUUCACUGAAUUUGCAACUUUGGGAGGUAGGAUAAGGGCUGACCUUUUCUGAAUGCAAUAUGGGCCAGGCCCAUAAAU